GAUGAACGCUGGCGGCGUGCUUAACACAUGCAAGUCGAGCGAACGGUUUUGAAACGUUUCUUCGGAUGAUAUUUAAAAUGGAAAGCGGUGGACGGGGGAGUAACGCGUAGGCAAACUGCCACAUACAAAGGGAUAGCAUUUGGAAACGAAUAUUAAUAUUUUAUGAAACUUAACUAGAGCAUGCUAGGUAGGUCAAAGAGUUUACGGUGUGGGAUGGGCCGGAGUCUGAUUAGCUAGGUGUUGAGGUAUAGGCUGACAAAGGCGACGAUCAGUAACCGACCAGAUAGGACGAGCGGCCACAUUGGAACGGAGGCACGGGCCAAACUCCUUCGGGAGGCAGCGGUAGGGAAUAGUGCACAAUGCGGGUGACCCAUAUGCAGCAUCGCCGCGUAAACGAUUAAUACCAUGGAGUCGCAAAUUUCUGUGCUAGUGUAUGAAAACUGACGGUAACCAAGGAGAAAGCCCCGGCUAACUCCGUG
This 479-nucleotide ribosomal RNA is filed under the name uncultured bacterium. RNAcentral's name for it is "partial 16S ribosomal RNA". It matches the Rfam family "Bacterial small subunit ribosomal RNA", at positions 28 to 507 of the family's 1533-position model. The record is from RNAcentral.